AAUAAUGCAAUCAAAGCCUCAGGUAAACCAGUUUUCCUGGCGACUAUAGCGAUUUGGAACCACCUGAUACCAUCUCGAACUCAGAAGUGAAACAUUUCCGCGCCAAUGAUAGUGUGAGGCUUCCUC
RNAcentral lists this ribosomal RNA (126 nucleotides) under Legionella pneumophila str. Lens. Lineage: Bacteria; Pseudomonadati; Pseudomonadota; Gammaproteobacteria; Legionellales; Legionellaceae. The record is from RNAcentral.